GGUCUCCGGUAUGCAUGUUAGCACAUGUGGAAACCCUACCUCCUAGGAGAUCAAUUUGGUCUCAAACCUUACAAAUUAGCUAACCCAAUUUGAUGUGUAUUUGGGUUAGAUCGUACCACCUAGAGGUAGUCUAAAGAGGGGCACCUAAAUGCUUAUCCACGCCAACAACCAAGAGUCCAAGUUGUGAAGGACUCUUGGCGCACUUUUGUGAAGAGCACACAUACUCUCUAUUUUGGCAUGCAAAAGGACCAAGAGUCUCUG
This 261-nucleotide long non-coding RNA is filed under the name Elaeis guineensis (African oil palm). RNAcentral's name for it is "long non-coding RNA (EGUI_LNC077752)". Lineage: Eukaryota; Viridiplantae; Streptophyta; Magnoliopsida; Arecales; Arecaceae. The record is from RNAcentral.